UUCUAUUUACUUUGCCCUUUUUUACCAUUUACGCUUUAAGUCGUCGAAACUUAUGAUUUCUAUGGGAGAACUUUGAAAAUACGUAUCGUUGGAGGAUUCGAUGGAAAUAAUUUGUUUGGCUACUUCUGAACGAUGCGAUAGAUCUUAUAACUCUAAUGUUGGCUAUUUUUGUCUAUGUCAGUUACUUUGGUGCACCGAAAACUAAUUGAAAUUUUAGAUUUGGAUAAAGUCGUUGGUGAGAAAUACGAAAUUUAGUACGAUACGUCCUGAUGUUUUUAUGCCAUACCGUACGAUUAAAUUAAAAAUAGUGCUGUAAUAAUAUAAGCCAGUAAUAAGUUUCUUCCAAUUUGUUUUAUUUUUUUCUUUGGUAUCGUUAAUGCGCUAUAUCGUUCGUCUAUUGAAUCAUUUUAGUAAUUCGGGACCAUUUGAUCGAGUUAAAUUUAGCAUGCAAAUUUUUUAAAUAAUUUCCGCACCAAAAUAGACAUUUUAAUUUUAUGCUUUGCAAGUGUGUAAGUGAAUAAACGCGUCGCAAGUUAUUUAUAAAGUAAAGUGUGUUUCCACAUUUUCAACGCGAGAUUCGAUCUUCUCGGUUCUUUUAUGCCAAAAGCAAUGUGACAACUUUUAUACCAGAUUAAUCGACUACUUAAAGAUGCUAAUUCUCAUUUAUUUCAUAACGCUUUGUAACUUUGUUCGCAAUUAUUAAAUCUCUUUAUUCGUAUGAGUCAUCGAAGGCCACACGCGUAUAUCUUUAUAAUUUUAUACUAUAAAAACAUUUCAAAACAUUUCCAUAGUAAUUUAAUAGAAAAACACGGUAUAUUUCCGAUAAAUUUUUUCUUAUCCAUAUACAACCAUUGCUGUAUGUAUUGCCCCUUUCAAUUUAUCAAAUUACCGCAACACAACAAAUCAAAUCGUAUAGUUAGAUUUCAUAUAGUUCGAUAUUUGAUAAUGUUAGUUUGCUAAUAUCGUAAAUUAGCUAAUAUCGUAAUGAAAGUAAAUUAGUGCGCGAGGCGGUGCUGAUAUGAAUCUAGUACGGGGCGACAAGACGUAUAGACCCGGCACUAUAACGUUCUUACCCCUUACCCCGAGAUAGCCAGCUCGCGACCGGAGCACCGACCAUGGAAAGAGACCGAAGGUACGCCGAACGAGGACAGACGCAGAGGAAGAGAAUGGGAUAACCUGUGUGUAUAUACGGGUAUACAGAGUGUACCGAAGGUAACUUCGAUUACAAUGGUAUCAACGAUUUUACCGGCAUUAAAACAGAGAAAAAUCCUGUCGAUUAAGCUGCGCGUUAUCAACAACCCUUUCUUCUGUCGUUUUAAAUCCGCAAUAUCCGAUAACGAAGUGUUUCAACGAUUUUCCUAACAUCUCCAAUUGCGAGUAACAAAUUAGCGCAAGGUCGUGACUAAUUCGAACGUUGAACGAACUCUUUUUCCGAUUCUCUAUAUAUCGGAUUUAUACGUAUUUUAUUGUCAAUUUCACACGAUUCCAACUUGUCCAAUAUUCGGAUAUUUUUGAUGCGCAACAUGGAUACACGGAAAGGAAAGAAAAGAGAACGAAAGAAAAAAAAAAGGAGAAAAAGGAGAGCGUUGGUAUUUUCUGAACGAGAGAUUUACCCGUGUCCCCGACGAGGAACUAGUUUUCGAUAAACGAGCACCUCCUCGUUAAGUGGCUCCACGAAGGGGGCCGAAAUCGUACUCACCCUAUAUCCCCGAAGCGUUCGCGGGAUAGAGAGGCCCUGAGAGGUCAAAGUGGAAGAGAGAGGAUCGUGCACCAAGUGAGAAGCGGUGGAACAGAGAGAGAGAAAUAUUUUUAUUAAAAGGAGGGAGGCGACUCAAUGGAGGGAUAAAGACAGAUUCGCGGCGCAGUACACCGUGUCGGAUGCUGAUGCUGCAUUAAGCCCCGUUUGCACUUCCGCCCUUCCAUUCGCAAGCUUCGAUCCUUUCAUACGCUCCCUUCGCGCCGCUGCCGCCAAUUGUUUUCGAUGAUUUUUAUUUUAUAUGAUAUUCCUGACAAUUCUACUGAAAAUAAUCCAACAUCGCGGGCGAGAUGCUUGCUUUGUUGAUUUUUUUCAUUUCAAAGCAGUUCGGUUCAGCAAUUCCGAAUAAAACACUGUUGGGGACACUUUGAUAAUAUCAACCUGAUUCGAUGAACGUCAAUUAUAUGAGAAAAGAACAGAUAAAAUCGAGUAUAUGUUUAAAUCGGAGUAAAAUGUAAUUUCAAAUGUCAUCGUGGUUUUAACGACGUUCGUAGGAAAUUCUACAGUUAGGUUAAAAUAACAAUGAAUACGAUAGCGGUAAUUAUAUCGUUUCAGACAAUAUUUCAUUUAGAAGUAACAUAGUUACGAAACUGAAAAUAAAUUGUUUUCUAUCUACAACAACGAACUAAAUGUUAGAAUAUAACAUUUUUUCCUGAAUUUUUGAUGAAAGCUUAAUUGACGAUAUUCCGUGUAUUUUAUACUUCUAUGUUUCAAACAGGAUACACAACGAAUUUCACAAUGCCAGGUAUCAUUGUGUUGAAGAACCAUCGACAAACAAUGUUACGAAGAGGGGUCUGCGUGUCUAAGGACGUAAUCAUAAAAGAAAUUCUUUCAAAUGAAAGCACUAUUGACUCGACAGUGUUGCAUCACGAUGAACGAUGACCCGACGAUUUACAAUUUCGGCAAACACGAGGUAUACCAGCAAGGUCACGUGAUGGACUUCGUCCAGGACGAGACGAGGGAGCAUACAUAGAAGGGAGACGUCACUGACCGUGAACGCACGCGAGACUCGCGACAAUUUUGUCCGCGACUUAGCAGGAACUCCGUACAUCGGCAGAUAAAGCGGAAGAAUGCGGCCUCGAUGAACUUUGUUUCGUGAAAAACGCGCCUUCGGUCGAUUUCCUAAUCGACCCUUUCUACUCGACGAUGGCUAAAUCGAUUGAUCAGUAGAAUAUGUAGAUCUGUUAUAUACGUUAAAAUACUCGAUCGACGUUUAAAUACUCUGUUACGAAUAUCAUUUUUCUGACAGAUCGUUUGUCUGAAAAUAUUUAUAAACGUUCGCCAACAGACUGUAUUUUUGUUCGAAAAAAAGAAAAAAUCAAUGUGUCUACCCUCGAGCAUGAUUACUGUUGGUAACAACUGCAUCACAUGAAUGGCUUCCGGCCAGGUAAUCCGAGGGAGUGUUCAUUUAACGAAAUGUCAAGGAAGUGGAUUUUAAUCAGUGAAUAACUUGGGACGGCAAUGAUUAAGUCUUUUCCUUGAUUUUUUUAUGUAUAAAGUUUAACGGAGUUCUGUUAAAAAAUUAGAAUGCAAUAAUUUCAUGAAUGAUUUAAUUUGUUUCAAUGUAGAAAACAAUUUAGUCUGAUGAUAAAUAUAAUUAUAUACAUAUAAAUCAAACUUUUCUAUGAAUGAAUAAAUGUUACAUGACAUGUUUA
Long non-coding RNA from Bombus huntii, 3411 nucleotides. RefSeq lists it as uncharacterized. The transcript is spliced from 2 exons. The record is from RefSeq and is a predicted model, not a curated record. NCBI's taxonomy places the organism in Eukaryota, Metazoa, Arthropoda, Insecta, Hymenoptera, Apidae.